CUCGUCUAUAAACCCACUUAAGCAAACUAAUAUUCCACUAUGAGAAAACAAAGCAGCAGUCCAUCUCGCAAAGCCUUCUCUCUCGCAGGUCGACCCAGAUGGAAAAAGACACCAAAUCACCGAUCCAGAUGCCAAAAGGGCACUGGGUUUAUGGGACGAUGGAGGGCUGAUGCUGCUCAUGCGGGUUUAAGCGACGCUGCUUGCAGAAGAGGGAGAUGGGACUAGCAAUCUCGUGGUUUUUGGGGGGUCUCACUAAGACCUCUUAGUGAAGCCUUUAGUGUAGGCGAGUCCGAGCUAGUCUCAUUAAGACUAGUCUCGCAUGAUAACAAGCAUUAGACUGGACUAACUAUUAGUCCAGUCUAGUCCAAGGACAGUUAGUGAGGGCAAACAAACACCUCUUAGGUUUUUAGAGAGAAAAGUGGGAAGCGAAUGUGGGACCCAACGAUUAUAGAGAGUAGAAAUUUUUUAUUGUGAUGGGAACACAUAUGUUACCACGUGUUUUUAUAUAAGUGAUGAAAUUUUUUAUUUUUUAAGUUAUUAACUUUUUAACACACAUAUCUCACAAUUUAUAUUGUAACACAUGGAAUACCAUCUCAUUUGUAGGUCAUACAGAAAAAUCUCUCGUAUAGCGAGAAGAAAUAUUUUGGUAUUUCCAAAGCAUAGUCGGUAUAUUAUGAGUAAUAAUUAGAGAAUUUUAAUGAAAACUUCUGGUAUUGUUCAUUUUAACGAAAAAUCAUAUUUUUACACUAAAAAGUCAAUCCUGGUACUAUUUAUUUUAACAUUACGUUAAAACUCAAUGUUUUUAAGUACUUUUCAUUAUUUUCCUUAAUAAUUAUUGUAUUAUAAUAUUUAAUGCAUCAAACUGUGUUUUUGGCACAUUUACAAAUAAAGGCUAAUCAUCUGAGUGAGAGAGAGAGAGAGGGAGAGAGGCUUUAGGGAGGUUCUGCUGAUGGGUCUUGGGUAGGCCAAAGAAGUCAGCCUGGCAUCCAACUAAGGCCACGCCCUGCAACGGUUAUAUUUGUCCUCUCUCUCUCUCUCUCUCUCUCUCUCAAAUUGUGGGGUUCCUUUCGUAUUCAUUUCUCUGAUGAAGGGAGCAUUUGGGUUGGGGACCAUCUGGGUAUAUUUGUAUGUUUGGUGGGUUUAGUUUUCUUCCUUGAACGAAUAAUUCAGCUCAAAA
Malus domestica (apple) is the source of this 1177-nucleotide long non-coding RNA. RefSeq lists it as uncharacterized. The record is from RefSeq and is a predicted model, not a curated record. Lineage: Eukaryota; Viridiplantae; Streptophyta; Magnoliopsida; Rosales; Rosaceae.